GACGAACGCUGGCGGCGUGCUUAACACAUGCAAGUCGAACGAUGAACCCGGAGCUUGCUCCGGUGGAUUAGUGGCGAACGGGUGAGUAACACGUGAGUAACCUGCCCUUGACUCUGGGAUAACUGCGGGAAACUGUAGCUAAUACCGGAUACGACCCUCGGCGGCAUCGCCAGGGGGUGGAAAGAAUUUCGGUCAAGGAUGGACUCGCGGCCUAUCAGCUAGUUGGUGAGGUAACGGCUCACCAAGGCGACGACGGGUAGCCGGCCUGAGAGGGUGACCGGCCACACUGGGACUGAGACACGGCCCAGACUCCUACGGGAGGCAGCAGUGGGGAAUAUUGCACAAUGGGCGCAAGCCUGAUGCAGCGACGCCGCGUGAGGGAUGAAGGUCUUCGGAUUGUAAACCUCUUUCAGUAGGGACGAAGCGAAAGUGACGGUACCUAAAGAAGAAGCACCGGCUAACUACGUGCCAGCCGCCGCCGUAA
This 484-nucleotide ribosomal RNA is filed under the name uncultured bacterium. RNAcentral describes it as "partial 16S ribosomal RNA". It matches the Rfam family "Bacterial small subunit ribosomal RNA", at positions 28 to 523 of the family's 1533-position model. The record is from RNAcentral.